AGGGCAGUAGUUAACUAUAACAUUUGAUUUGCAUUCAAAAAGUGCCAAAUAGGCCUGCCUU
This 61-nucleotide transfer RNA is filed under the name Anaplecta calosoma. RNAcentral's name for it is "tRNA-Ala". Lineage: Eukaryota; Metazoa; Arthropoda; Insecta; Blattodea; Anaplectidae. The record is from RNAcentral.